RNAcentral lists this ribosomal RNA (495 nucleotides) under uncultured bacterium. RNAcentral describes it as "partial 16S ribosomal RNA". It matches the Rfam family "Bacterial small subunit ribosomal RNA", at positions 28 to 507 of the family's 1533-position model. The record is from RNAcentral.
GACGAACGCUGGCGGCGUGCCUAAUACAUGCAAGUAGAACGCUGAAGGAGGAGCUUGCUCUUCUGGAUGAGUUGCGAACGGGUGAGUAACGCGUAGGUAACCUGCCUGGUAGCGGGGGAUAACUAUUGGAAACGAUAGCUAAUACCGCAUAACAGUAGAUGUUGCAUGACAUUUACUUAAAAGGUGCAAUUGCAUCACUACCAGAUGGACCUGCGUUGUAUUAGCUAGUUGGUGGGGUAACGGCUCACCAAGGCGACGAUACAUAGCCGACCUGAGAGGGUGCUCGGCCACACUGGGACUGAGACACGGCCCAGACUCCUACGGGAGGCAGCAGUAGGGAAUCUUCGGCAAUGGACGGAAGUCUGACCGAGCAACGCCGCGUGAGUGAAGAAGGUUUUCGGAUCGUAAAGCUCUGUUGUAAGAGAAGAACGAGUGUGAGAGUGGAAAGUUCACACUGUGACGGUAUCUUACCAGAAAGGGACGGCUAACUACGUG